GAUGAACGCUAGCUACAGGCUUAACACAUGCAAGUCGAGGGGAAACGAUAGAGAAAGCUUGCUUUUUCUAGGCGUCGACCGGCGCACGGGUGAGUAACGCGUAUCCAACCUGCCCAUCACUUGGGGAUAACCUUGCGAAAGUAAGACUAAUACCCAAUGACGUCUCUAGAAGACAUCUGAAAGAGAUUAAAGAUUUAUCGGUGAUGGAUGGGGAUGCGUCUGAUUAGCUUGUUGGCGGGGUAACGGCCCACCAAGGCGACGAUCAGUAGGGGUUCUGAGAGGAAGGUCCCCCACAUUGGAACUGAGACACGGUCCAAACUCCUACGGGAGGCAGCAGUGAGGAAUAUUGGUCAAUGGGGGAAACCCUGAUGCAGCGACGCCGCGUGGAGGAAGAAGGUCUUCGGAUUGUAAACUCCUGUUGUUGGGGAAGAUAAUGACGGUACCCAACAAGGAAGUGACGGCUAACUACGUG
Molecule: ribosomal RNA, 472 nt
Filed under: uncultured bacterium
Lineage: Bacteria
Description: bacterial SSU rRNA
Rfam family: Bacterial small subunit ribosomal RNA
Source: RNAcentral